GUGUCAGCAGCCGCGGUAAUACGGAGGAUGCAAGCGUUAUCCGGAAUGAUUGGGCGUAAAGCGUCCGCAGGUGGCCGCUCAAGUCUGCCGUCAAAGACUACAGCUUAACUGUAGAAAGGCGGUGGAAACUGAGCUAGCUAGAGUGCGGUAGGGGCAGAGGGAAUUCCCGGUGUAGCGGUGAAAUGCGUAGAGAUCGGGAAGAACACCAGUGGCGAAAGCGCUCUGCUGGACCGCAACUGACACUCAGGGACGAAAGCUAGGGGAGCGAAUGGGAUUAGAUACCCUCGUAGUCC
RNAcentral lists this ribosomal RNA (293 nucleotides) under uncultured bacterium. RNAcentral's name for it is "partial 16S ribosomal RNA". It matches the Rfam family "Bacterial small subunit ribosomal RNA", at positions 505 to 796 of the family's 1533-position model. The record is from RNAcentral.